GGAAAUGUCACUUUUAAAAAUACAUAUCGUGGAAGAGUAUACAUGUUUGCCCAGAGUGAAUCAAUCCCUUCACAGUGAGCCAUUCAAAAGAUUUGAAUCGUUUGGAAGACCACGUGACUGGAAUUUUCCAGAGGCUAAAGACCGUUGCUCCGCCAGCUUCGUUUUCAAACAAGUGACGACGACAGACGGUUCAACUUCGAGGAAGAGCUAACGUUUGCGCUUUCGCUAAUAUUUGGCUACAAACUCACACAUUUGAGUUUUAUUCGUAAAUUAUCGUUUUGAUAUAUGUUUUGAAGGCAAUUAUCUUGCCAUAUAUUCUUUACAUCGGCGUUAUCACCAGAACAAAGGUUUCAAGCUUCAGUCGACUCGCUUGUGUCCGAAAACAAAACAAUGGCUAAGGGAGAAGAAUCGCACUCUGAAAUGGCCCACGAUCGUCAGAGUGAUGGCAUCAAUGUGAUCUUUGACCAAAACAGCCCUGCCUCAUCUCGGUCCCGCUCACGAUCUAGAAGCAGUAGUGGCAGCAAACUCUCACCUGGCUCUGGCCGCUUUAGGGGACGUGGUAGCCACAGGAGACGCCACAAGUCCUCAUCCAGCAGCAGGUCCCCCACUCAUACGCGGUCACGCUCUCACACUCGUUGCCGUAGGCCUUCGUCCCACUGCCGCUGUGACAACCAUCGCAAAAAUGGCCGUGGCCGCCAAUCCCCACCACGGCGCUCCAGGGCCCACUCCAGGUCUUCCAGCCGUCGGAGCAGGAGGGCUGCGAGCCCGUCUUCCCAAUCCAUAACCCACAGAGGCGAUUCAAGAUCCGGAUCUUCAGAGAACUCUGUCAAUUUGAGUUUGGAUGACAAAGGAGAACUCCUCACAGCUGCAAAGGUCAUUGCUACUACAAUCCUAGAAGUGGAAAAGCUGGAGCUUCCUGAGAGUGUGAAACCAAUCCUAUUGGAGCAGUCGGAGUUCAAACGGGUGUCGCUAGAUACAUGGGUGAGACAAGACCCUGAAAAGACUCUGUCACAGAGCGAUGAGGAGGAGCCUGACGAUAUGUUCAGCUCUAAGAUGUCCCCAAAAAGGAAAACGAUCUCUUUCAGCAUUAAUAAUUCUUUGUUCAAACCAUCCCUGGCAUCUCAAUCGAGUGCUAAGGUAACUUCCAGGGUGGACAGCUUUGACAGCAGGAAGCCCUACGGCCACUGGGUUCGGGUCAAAUCAGGCCAAAGCUCCAAUGUGCGCAAACACGCAUUCGCCACAUCACACUAGUGUGCCAUAAUCCAUGGACACUGUAAAUACUGUACAUAUUUUGUACUUAUGCUUUACCAUUUUAUGGCCGACAUUUUCUUUCAGAUGUUGAAAGAGUUAAGUCGGGAGAGGUGAAGAAUUCGUUCAGGUGGGAUUAUUUUUUUCCCUUGUAUAUUGUGCUUUUUAUGAAAUCAAUAAAGAUAUUUAUUUGAUAAAAAUAUUGUUUCUGUGUUUUUGUAACUUGUCUCAGAAAACCAUGAAUUGCAACUUCAUCUUGAGCCUUUAAAAACUGUUCAGGGAAAACAU
Molecule: long non-coding RNA, 1536 nt
Filed under: Cottoperca gobio
Lineage: Eukaryota; Metazoa; Chordata; Actinopteri; Perciformes; Bovichtidae
Description: lncRNA (ENSCGOG00000017935.1)
Source: RNAcentral